AUCAACUUUCGAUGGUAGGAUAGAGGCCUACCGUGGUGGUAACGGGUAACGGGGUGUUAGGGCACGACACCGGAGAGGGAGCCUGAGAAACGGCUACCACAUCCAAGGAUGGCAGCAGGCGCGCAAAUUACCCAAUCCCGACACGGGGAGGUAGUGACAAUAAAUAACAAUACGGGGUUCUUUAGGAUCUCGUAAUUGGAAUGAGUACAAUUUAAAUCUCUUAACGAGGAACAAUUGGAGGGCAAGUCUGGUGCCAGCAGCCGCGGUAAUUCCAGCUCCAAUAGCGUAUAUUAAAGUUGUUGCAGUUAAAAAGCUCGUAGUUGAAUUUCGGGGUUAGUAGGUUGGUCAUGCCUCUGGUAUGUACUGAUCUCACUGAUUCCUCCUUCCUUAUGAACCGUAAUGCCAUUAAUUUGGUGUUGCGGGGAAUUUGGACUGUUACUUUGAAAAAAUUAGAGUGUUUAAAGCAGGCUAACGCUUGAAUACAUUAGCAUGGAAUAAUGAAAUAGGACGUUCGAUCUUAUUUUGUUGGUUUCUAGGAUUGACGUAAUGAUUAAUAGGGAUAGUUGGGGGCAUUAGUAUUCAAUUGUCAGAGGUGAAAAUUCUUGGAUUUAUUGAAGACUAACUACUGCGAAAAGCAUUUGCCCAGGAUGUUUUUCNUUAAUCAAGAAACGAAAAGUUAUGGGGAUCGAAGACGAUCAGAUACCGUCGUAAUCCUUAAUCAUA
This 723-nucleotide ribosomal RNA is filed under the name uncultured Glomus. RNAcentral's name for it is "SSU rRNA". It matches the Rfam family "Eukaryotic small subunit ribosomal RNA", at positions 314 to 1034 of the family's 1831-position model. Lineage: Eukaryota; Fungi; Glomeromycota; Glomeromycetes; Glomerales; Glomeraceae. The record is from RNAcentral.